UACGGGGGGGGCAAGCGUUGUUCGGAAUUACUGGGCGUAAAGGGCUCGUAGGUGGCCAACUAAGUCAGACGUGAAAUCCCUCGGCUUAACCGGGGAACUGCGUCUGAUACUGGAUGGCUUGAGUUCGGGAGAGGGAUGCGGAAUUCCAGGUGUAGCGGUGAAAUGCGUAGAUAUCUGGAGGAACACCGGUGGCGAAGGCGGCAUCCUGGACCGGCACUGACGCUGAGGAGCGAAAGCCAGGGGAGCAAACGGG
This 253-nucleotide ribosomal RNA is filed under the name uncultured bacterium. Its description in RNAcentral is "partial 16S ribosomal RNA". It matches the Rfam family "Bacterial small subunit ribosomal RNA", at positions 524 to 776 of the family's 1533-position model. The record is from RNAcentral.